Long non-coding RNA from Pan troglodytes (chimpanzee), 13657 nucleotides. RefSeq lists it as uncharacterized. The record is from RefSeq and is a predicted model, not a curated record. NCBI's taxonomy places the organism in Eukaryota, Metazoa, Chordata, Mammalia, Primates, Hominidae. The transcript has 9 exons.
UUCUAACAGACAGGACCCUCAGCUGCAGGUCUGUUGGAAUACCCUGCCGUGUGAGGUGUCAGUGUGCCCCUGCUGGGGGGUGCCUCCCAGUUAGGCUGCUCGGGGGUCAGGGGUUAGGGACCCACUUGAGGAGGCAGUCUGCCCGUUCUCAGAUCUCCAGCUGCAUGCUGGGAGAACCACUGCUCUCUUCAAAGCUGUCAGACAGGGACAUUUAAGUCUGCAGAGGUUACUGCUGUCUUUUUGUUUGUCUGUGCCCUGCCCCCAGAGGUGGAGCCUACAGAGGCAGGCAGGCCUCCUUGAGCUGUGGUGGGCUCCACCCAGUUCGAGCUUCCCAGCUGCUUUGUUUACCUAAUCAAGCCUGGGCAAUGGCGGGCGCCCCUCCCCCAGCCUCGCUGCCGCCUUGCAGUUUGAUCUCAGACUGCUGUGCUAGCAAUCAGCGAGACUCCGUGGGCGUAGGACCCUCCGAGCCAGGUGUGGGAUAUAGUCUCGUGGUGCGCCGUUUUUUAAGCCGGUCUGAAAAGCGCAAUACUCGGGUGGGAGUGACCCUAUUUUCCAGCCUGCAAACAGCUAGAGGACCAUAAAAAACAAGGUAUCCUCUGUGCUCAAGGAGAGGCUCUAGAUGAACAGAAUACAGACCUGAGGUAAUGCACUACACAGACAGUUCUGGGAAUCAACAUGUGAACACUUGUGUGUAGAUUUCUGUGAAAUGGUCCUUGGAAACUCAUUGUGACCACCCUGCUCAACACAUAGUUAAAGGAAAUGGAAGGGCCAUUAGUCAGCCUGCUCCACCUCCAGAUUCAGAUUAGCUAAUAGUACCUACUAUGCAUCUGGCUCUAAGUGAAAGAAUUUUACAAGUGUUACUUUGUUUCAAACUUGUGAAUGUCAGAAAAUGAGCAGAGUGACAGGAUUUAAACAGAAAUCUCUCAGUCCAGAGAUGAGGUCUCAAAAUCCUGGGCUAAAAUGAUCCUCCUGCCUCAGCCGCACAAAGUGAUAAGAAAUCAGCCAAAUGAAACUGAACUACAGGGAAAGACUCAUAAAUUUUCUAAUUUUUUUGUGGAUGGAGAUACGGGUGCAUAUUGAAGUGGAUCAUAUCUGACCUUUCCAGAGAAAGGAGGUGAAAACAUCCCUGCUUUAAAGAAUAGGCAAGAAAACCACAGAAUUUAGUGUCUUUACUAUUUGCCUGAAAGACAAACCGGAAGACCAAUCUCCUGACUGGUAAGUUGGUAUUCUUUCCAUUAAACAGUGCUCAAUAUGUAUAGAAAUAACACUGGAGUCUUCUUUGAGUGCCAAUUCUGGUGAAGCCAGUCUGGAGUGAGACCUGAGAUUCUAUAUCUCUAAUAAGCUCCAAUGCUGCUGGUCCAUGCACCACGCUUUGAGAAGCUAAGUAUUAAAUCACAGUAGCUAGCCAGAGCACAUUACUUAAUCAUACUUUGGGCUGAACAUGCUGAGGUGAUCUAGUUUUUUCCAGGAUAAUUUUGUUUUCCUCUGGUGAGAGGGUCCCAAUUAAGGUGAGGAGAAAACAAAGGAAUGGUAGAAAGUUAAGGUUUCUGAAGUAGUUAAUACAUGCCAGGUGCUGUGACAGACAUCCGUUCAUCCAUUACAUCACUUAAUUCUCACUAAAGUAAUGUAUUAUUGUCUCCUUUAUAUCCACCAUGAAAUAUCCUUGGAGAGAAUACGGGGCUUCCCUAAGAUAGCCAAUCCAAGCAACAGAGCAGGGAUCCAACCCAGUUUUUCUGACUUAGAAUCCUACCUGCGGUAUAUAUUACAACAUAAUAAAGAAAUUGUCUUUGCCGGGCACAGUGGCUCAUGCGUAAUCCCAGCACUUUGGGAUGUGGCAUGCUGAGGCAGGCGGAUCACCUGUGGUCAGGAGUUCAAGACCAGCCUGGUCAACAUGGUGAAACCCCAUCUCUACUAAAAUACGAAAAGUAGCUUAGCUGGGUGUGGUGGCGCACGCCUAUAAUCCCAGCUACUUGGGAGUCUGAGGUAGAAGAAUUGUUUGAACCCAGGAGACGGAGCCUGCAGUGAGCUGAGAUUGUGCCACUGCACUCCAGCCUGGGCAACAGAUUAAGACUCCAUCUCAAAAAAAAAAAAGAAAGAAAGAAAGAAAGAAAGAAAGAAAGAAAGCAUCUUUAAAGUGAUUAAUACGCACCUUGAUGACCUUCUUUAUUUUUAAUGGAUUUUAAUAUUUCCAAGAUGGAGUGUGUGCAAUGCUUCUAGCAGCUGCAUUACUGUUGACUGUGGAUCCUCACACAGGAGUUCUCAGCUGGGAGGAGAAUGUAGACACAUUCCAAUUCUAAGAUGCAAUUUUGGAUGGAUACCAAAAUAACUUUUACUUUCAUCCUUUUGGUAUGGAAGAUACAAAUCUUUUAAAAGCUGGAGCCCAAAGAAAUGUAAAUAUAGCUUAUUCAGGUCUGACAUUUCAAAAGAGGUCACCCCACCAGCAGUAUCAUCCCUGGUCUAUUAUCAGGUUUUCUGUCACUCAUGGUGAUUAAGGGUGAUAAACAGUGCAAAGCACUUGGAGUAGGCCAGAGGGCACAAAGAGAGACGUAGUUCACUUAAAAAGGACCACAUUUUCUGAGAAUAGAAAAGGCCAUUCACCCUCUGUGUCUUUGCUUCCAAAGAAGAAACAAUUGUUCUUUCAGAGACAAAGCAGUCAUCUCCCAGAAUUCUGCUAGAAUGUCAUCUGGGGGGGAACAGUUAGUUACCCAGGCUAAUGAACCUACUGCGUGGAAGAGUCACUGCUGUGGGAAUCAUCUGGCUCCCACUGUGAUCCCCAUUCCAUCCUCUCAGACUGCUUUUAGAUUGGCUUUGAAGUUAGUACAGAAGGGGAUUAUUUCACAUAACAGAAUGCUCUCCAGGUUAAUCCAUGUUGUUGCAAAUGACAUUUCUUUCUUUUUUCAGUUUGAAUAAUAUUCCAUUGUGUGUAUAUACCACAUUUUCUUUAUCCAUUUAUCCAUGGAUGGGUACUUAGAUUGAUUUCACUUCAUUUAUGCAUGGGCUUUUAAAAAUUCAAACUCAUAGAAGUAGAGAAUAGAAGGGCGGUUACCAGGGGCUAAGGUUUGGGGAGAUUGAAGAGAUGCUGGUCAAAAAAUACAAAAUUUUAAUGAGGAGAAAUAAGUCCAAGGGAGCUAUUGCAUGAUAGCUAGUAACAAUGCACUCUACACUUGGAAAAUUGCUAAGAAAGUAAACCUUAAGUAUUCUCACUAAAAAUAAAUACGUGAAAUAAUACAUAUGUUUAUUAGCUUGAUUGAGCCAUUCCACAAUACAUGCAUAUUUCAAAACGUGUAGUACAUUAUAAAUGUAUAUAACUGUUAUUUGUCAACUUAAAAAUAAGACAACUGGAGCUGCAUGAGGUGGCUCAUACCUGUAAUCUCAGCAUUUUGGGAGGCUGAGGCAGGUGGAUCCUUGAGCGCAGGAGUUCUAGAACAGCCUGGGCAAUGUGGCAAAACUCCAUCUAUAUAAAAAAUAGAAAAAUUAGCAAGUCAUUGUGGCAUGCACCUGUAGUCCUAGCUACUCAGGAGGCUGAUUUGGGAGGAUCGCUUGAGCUCAGGAGGUCGAGGCUACAGUGAACCAAGAUCUCACCACUGCACUCCUGCCUGGGUGACAGAGUGAGACCCUGUCUCAAAAAGAAAAAGAAAAGUUAAAAAAAGACAGGUGCCGGGCACAGUGGCUCAUGCCUAUAGUUGCAGCACUUUGGGAGGCCAAAGGGGGCGGAUCAUCUGAGGUCAGGAGUUUGAGACCAGCCUGACCAACACAGAGAAACCCUGUCUCUACUAAAAAUACAAAACUAGCUGGGCGUGGUGGUGCAUGCCUGUAAUCCCAGCUACUCAGGACGCUGAGGCAGAAGAAUGGCUUGAAUCUGGGAGGCGGAGGUUCCCGUGAGCCAAGAUCGCACCACUGCAAUCCAGCCUGGGCAACAAGAGUGAAACUCCAUCUCAAAAAAAAAAAAAAAAAAAAAAAAAAAAAAAACGAACGCAUGCAAACUUUUGAGGGAUACAAAACAUCCUUUUGUCAGAGCUGUCUUAUUAGCUGUCUUAUCUUCACUUCUAUUCAUGCUGAGUUGUAUUUCCCAACAUUGGAGAUAGUCCCAUACUCUUGUCCUUGCCUAGAAGAACAGUGUUGUUGGCCGGGCACAGUGGCUCAUGCCUAUAAUCCCAGCACUUUGGGAGGCAGAGGUGGGCGGAUCACCUGAGGUCGGGAGUUUGAGGCCAGCCUGACCAACAUGGAGAAACACCGACUCUACCAAAAAUACAAAAUUAGCCGGGCGUGGUGGUGCAUGCCUGUAAUCCCAGCUACUCGGGAGGCUGAGGCAGGAGAAUCGCUUGAACCCAGGAGGCGGAGGUUGCAGUGAGCCAAGAUCACGCCAUUGCACUCUAGCCUGGGCAAUGAGAGUGAAACUCCAUCUCAAAAUAAUAAUAAUAAUAAUAAUAAUGAACCAGUCUUGUUGUAAUUGUUUGGUUUUUAGAUCUGGCACUCUGCUGCUUCCUUGUCAACAGUGAAGCAAGAAAACCCAUGCAAGCUCAAGAUGCAAUGGGUCAAGGGCUGGUUCUUUCUCCUUGUGAUUUUGGUAAUCUCUGUUUUCUUUCCUCUCUCCCCUUUUAUACAUACAGUAUUUUCUCUUCAGUGUUUAGGUAUAGACUUUGGAUUCAACAAUGUCUUCUGUCUUAGAAAAGCUCCCGAGGCAUAGAAGUGCAAUGGGAGUGAAAUACAGGCAAGACAAAUUUGUAUCUCAAUAAUUUAUAACUGUGAUUAAUUUUCUUGAUUAUUUCCCUCUCCAAGAAACACAUUUUCAACAUAUGGUAAGGCUUUAGGGGAACAAACAAGCCAAAAUUCAAAGUCCAGAUCUGUAACAGAAUAGUCAUGUGAAUUUCAGUAUGUUACUCAAAGCUCAGUUGCAUCUACUGCAAAAUAUGUAUAAUAAUACCCCAUCAGUUUGGCAUGCAAAUUAUGUCAAAACUUCUAAAUGCUUCAGUGGCUCAUAAUUCCCAGUAAGUUGUAUUUAUGUUGUCUAGGAUGUAUUUCACUGGAGGAAUUAUAUACUCCAGAUAAAUAACACAAUUUAUAUCUACAACAUUCAGAGAAUUUUGGAAGGAAACUUUACACCAAUUUCAAAUAAUCCUCAAUCUAUGAAACUCUAAAGUGAGAUUACCCCUCAGAUUUAUACCCACCAAUUCUAAUAGUUUAAAGAGAAAAGAAAAAAAGAAAAGCAAGUUUCCAGUACGGAUUUCAAGACUAAAUUAAUUUCCUAAGCUGUUUCUGCAAAACAUAGAGAAAAUUCCACUCCAUCAUACAAGAUUUUGACAUUAUUUCUCAUUUUCAUAUCAUGAUAAACAGAGGACAUGAUAGUAUUUGUACAAUACCCUGGAUUAAAUGGAUGAGGCUGCUUGUAGUGGAAAGAAAUGGACUUGGGGGCCCAGUCAGCCUCAUUUCCCAUCUGUCAAUCUCUAGGGAUGACAGAACCAAUCUUUUGGCCUACCUGUAACCUAUCCAGAAAUACCAGUGGUUGGAAGUUGGUACUCUCUGAACUAGGACACAGAAAACAGUAUCAUGCAUGUAUGGAAUAUGAAGCAUGUUACUCUAUUUGGAAAUGGAGUUUAAAUUAGAAUAAAUAGUAAAUCAAUUAAUCAGUAUAUCUACUGAUUUAGCCAAUCAUUCACUGCCUCCUAAACUUCUCACCCAUUAUAUGAAAAGAAAUAAGAACUUGUUUCUGCUCUAUGGGCUUACAGUCUAGAAUAGCCCUCUCCAAUAGAAAUAUAAUUCAAGCUUUAGAUGAAAGUCAUAUAUGUAAUUUAUAAACAUAAUGUAAAAAGUUAUGUAUAAAUAAUGUAGUCAUAUAAAAAGAAACAGAUGAAAUCAAUUCUAACAAUAUAUUUAAAUUAACCUAUUAUACCCCAAAUGUUUAAGUAACCCAAUAUCACACAAUGAAUUAAAAAAUAACCCAGCAUAUUAGCCUCUCAACACAUAAUUAAUAUGAGUCACUGAGCUACUUUGCAUUCUAGUUUUGUGCUAAGUCUUUGAAAUUCGGUAUUCACAGCUCAAUUUGGACUAGCUGUAGUUUGGAUGCUCAAUGGCCUCAUAUGGGUAAUAGCUACACAAUUGAAGAGUUCAAGUCUGGAAAGAUAAAGUUAGGCAUGUAAACAAGUAAAGGCAAUAGAAAGGCAGACAGAGCUGAGUGGGAAAGAGCUCCAAAGUAAUCAGGAGCAAAACAUAGAGUUUUACCUCCUACAAUGCUCAGGAGCAGGCCCACUUUCCUUAUUCAAUUGUGUAAGAAGAUAUUGUGUUAAAGCCUUCUUUUAACAGUUCUAGAAAUUAUGAAAAAAAAAUCACUGUAAACAUGAUAAACUGUUACCCACAAAGCUGGUCUCCCCAAGGAUGGGGUCUCUCUGUUUGGUGUCAGAAAGCCAAUAUACAAAACUGAAAGUGAGUGUCAAGCAGUGCAGGCUUUACUCAAUCACCAUGGAACUGAGACACAGGAGCAUGACUCCUCCUGGGCUAGUGAGGAGUGAAUGGGUUAAAAUAUAGGGUUUUCUGAUGAAGGUGUUGGACAUUAAACGUGAGAGGAAGAAUGUCUAUGUCUUUUUCCAGAAAUGGGUGGUGAUAUUGUUUGGCUGUGUGCCCACCCAAAUCUCAUCUUGAAUUGUAGCUCCCAUAAUUCCCAUGUGUUGUGGGAGGGACCCAGUGGGAGAUAAUUGAAUCAUGGGAGCAGUUUUCCCCAUGCUGUUCUCAUGGUAGUGAUUAAGUCUGUAAUGGUUUUAUAAAGGGAAAGCCCUUUUGUUUGGCUCUUUGACUCUAUCUUGCUGCUGUCAUGUAAGAAGUGCCUUUCGCCCUCGCCCUCCACCAUGAUUGUGAAGCCUUCUCAGCCACAUAGAACUGUGAGUUCAUUAAACCUCUUUUACUUUAUAAAUUACCCAGUCUCUGGUGUGUCUUUAUCAGCAGCAUGAAAACAGACUAAUACAGGUGAUGAACUUCCUGGAACCAGAGUGCUGCCUUCCUUUUUGUCCUUUUCUGGCUUAUUCUGGUUGUUGUCAUGGCACAUAUCAACUGUCAUGGCACUGUUGGAAGUAAGUGUCAUUUAGCAUGGAAAUGAGAUCGUAAUGAAGCCUAAAGUCUUUUGACAUCGUUUGGUCUGCUAUCUUGGUUUUAACCAGUUUCAACUGGUCUGGUUACAAAGGAAACUUUUGAUCACAAGCAUCCUUUUUCUUCAAGGUAAGUGGAGUCAGAGCAGGGUAGAAAUUCAGCUAGUCUGGUUUGCAAAGAAAAAUUUUGAUCGCAGGCAUCCUUUUUCUUCAAGAUAAGUGGAGUUAGGGCAGGGUAGAAAUUCAGCUAUGCCAUAUAGGCUUUACAGCAGAUCACAGUAACAUCUUAUGUUUAUUUGCUCUUUUUUAUUUGGCCAUUUAUAGAUUGCACUGCACAUGUUUUAAAAUUCCACAGGAAUUAAAGAUACAGUUUUUCAUUUAGACGACUUCUGAUCCCAUCAUAUUCCUUUCAGUUGACGGGGCUGUGGCCGCUGCCCAGUGUGUGUUUCUCAUCCAACUGUAUAAAAUCAGGCAAUAAAAAGAUGGGCCUCAGUGAGCUGAAAAGUCAGUGAGGGAGGUGAGGAGAAAGACAGACAGAAGUAGAGAGAGGUCUAACUUGACAAGACCUUCUAUUUUAACAAACAUAAUCAAGAUGGCUUAAAAACGAUUAAACCUCAAAUUCCACAGUCAUUUCACUUUCAGAUGAUUUGCGGCUGUUGCCUCGUCUGGGAAAAACUGACUUAGUUAUGGUCUUUGUGAACAGACAGCUUCUAGAACCAGACGAGGCAGCAGAAUGAAGUGUAAUUGACUAAGUGGCUCAAAGAAGGGGAGAAAUAUAAUUCAAUAAAUUAAAGUACUAAAGAUAUAUGCAAAAUUCACGGGCUUCUUAUGCCUGGCAUUGUAGGAUAAGACUGUUCCUCAUUUUAAAAUUGGACUCUUUAGUAGGAUUACUACUCAAUAUCAGCAGCAAAGAAGUUGGCUCUGGAACUGUAAUUUGAGGUGUAAAUUAAGGUGACCUCAACUAGGAUGAAAUACCUUUAAAGAAGCUGAGAUAUAAAAUAUGAGCUGUUUUCAGGAAACGGAAGACAAUUGGGAGUUGUUGAAAAUGGACCAACAAAAGUGAAAAGGGGAAAUAAAGAAACAGAUUACAGGACAAAAGCCUGAGCACCUAAUUUAAAACAAAAAUGGUUUCCUAUGGUUUAUGAUGAGUGAUAAACAGAGUCCACUGUGUGGCCAUAAAAAUAUAUCUUUAGCUCAGAAAAUAUGAGCCUCACUGUCAGCUUAAUGUAGUGAUUUAAGCUCACAGCCUUUCUCCUUGAAAGAGUUACAAGGCUAAAGUUACCAAUCAUUCUAAAUGAUGUGCCUUUGGAAAUUAUGAACUAUGGCCAAGAGGCAUUAGUUUUUAGUGCAACUUAAUCAUGAAUUUACCUAUUUCAAGUUAUUGUUUAGUUACAUAUUUCUUAGCACAGCUGGAGUGGUAGAGUAUUAAUAGUUAUAAAACUCCAUUAAACUGGCAUUAAACUUCUGAGAAAAACCCAUAAAAUUCUACAGAAAGCCCAACACUGGAGCUCUGCCUCCUCUGGCUCCAAGUCAACUUUAUUAUAAUAAAGUCAUUCAAAAGACUCAACAAGGAGCCAAGAGGGUCUAUUGAGAAACCUCAUGGUGUUAUAGCAGGAAACCUCUGAUUCACCUAGAAGACUAAUGCACAUACAAACCAUAGGAAAUUCUGAGAUAAAGCUUUCUAAGAAACAUUAAAAUAGCAAAUGGGGAUGUUGAUUCCAUUAUCAUAUGAAGCCAAGGCAAAAAAAACAAAAAGAAAGACAAGAAGAAAGAAAAAAACAGUGGUAAAAUGACCUUUCACAAUUCUUCCAUAGAAAGUCUUUUCCCUGCAUUUGGGCAGCAGAGACUCCAAUCCCAAGGUCGUCAUUUUAUAAACAUGCUCAGGAAAGAGCAGAAUCACAAAUCACUGAUUGUCAAGCAGAGUUAAACAAAGUGCAGGAGCCACACUAUUUUAAACGAGGAACACAAUUGAGAGACCAUCAGACUGGACGUUUGGAGUAAAUAAAAAUCCAUUUCUGUCUCCGGGAAUUUUCAAAUAGGAAGAUGGACGGAGGAAGGGGAGGACAACAUUUCAGAGUGAGUAUUAAUAUUAGGUGCUUUAUAGCAUUGCUACUCAAGCUGUAGCCGAUGGGCCAUCAUUUACCUUCUCUGGGAGCUUGUCUGAAAUUCAGAAUCUCAGGCUCUUUCUUUUAGACCACAGCCCUUUUUACAAGAUUCCAGAUGAUUUUUAAGCACAAGAAAAUUUGAAAAGUAAAGCUUUACAUUACUUUUGUGAUUUUAGACAUACAACACUUUUACCAGUUGUUACCCUCACUUCAGAGAGAGGAAAAUAGAAGCUCUGUAGACUGUUCAAAGUUGCCCUGCCAGCCAGCUGUAGAAAUGCAAUUCCGACCUAAAUCAUUCAAAUUCCUCUAAAGUCAAACAUAAAAAUAUCAGCAAAUUCAAAUGAACAACAAACUAUUCCUGAAGUUGUGUUUCAUUUGUUCUAACUUGCUUUCCUUGUUUGCAUGGAGUAUGUAACAGUUGUGUAAUAAAGGGUUGCUGGACUAGUAAUUUAUUUGUGGAGUGCCUGCUCUGUGUGAGACAUUGUGUGUGAAAACAAGUAGUACGAGACAAAAUCUCAUACUUUGCUGGAACAUUUGUCUGGGAAGACAUGAUACAGGCUUUUACAAAAAAAAAAUAUCAAGAGUGGACAGUUCUUUGUGUUGAGUACAGCAGACAAGAAGUGCUUCCCAACGGCAUCGGAGUGUCCAUUGCAAUUCACAUCAAUCAACGUAGCCUAGAGAGCAAACAAGUGAUGUAAGUGUUCAACAAAUAUUAGCAAUUUAUAUAAUUGUCAUUGUUAACUUUCCCAGAGGUGGGAACACCAUAUUUAUUCUGGAGACAAUGGGAGGGGUGGUCUUGCUGGUGGACAGGGUGAAUGUGAGGAGAGAAGUUUUGAAUAAACUUUAAAGGCUUUGUUGUGAAAAGUCAGGCAGUUCGAUGAGUUGAGACAGUAUUCUGUAAGCAAUGGUGAGAGGGUGACUAUCAUAAUGAAAGAGGAGCCUUCAUAUGCAUCUUAAUAUAUUAGUCAUUACUGGAAAAUUGGAUCAUUCCUAAGAUUUUGGGCAGUCUCAUGAAAAAUAGCUCUUAUGAAAAAAAAAUUGUCACUGGAUAAGUGCCCCAGACAAAUUUCUGAUAGGGUAAAACUAGGCAUUGAACCUACUCCAGAAGAAAUGAAAUCUCUCUCCCUGGUUUCUAAUGGGUGUUCACAUAACUUUCAGUAAGAAGAUGUUUCUCGGUGAAACCCUGUCUCUACUAAAAAUACAGAAAAUUUCUGAGAGUUAAGAAAAUGCAAGUCCCUUUUGUAGCUUGUCAGAAUAAUAGCUACUUAACCAAUUACUGCUCUUUUACCCUGACCAUGAUCUGUCUUGCUGAACAUUCUAAAACAUAUAAAACCUUGAGGUGAUGGCAGCAGAAUGAUUUGAUAAUGGGUCUUGUAUAGAAUCAAAAUGUUCUGGAGUGGUAGAUUAAAGAAGGAUAUGGAUACCGUGUUUUUCUCUUCUCUAUGAGGUAGAGUCUAGUUUCUCUUACCUUGAGUCUGAGAUGACCUGAGUGAUUUGUCCAUAAAUGGACCUAGUAGCAACUGAUACUCUGAUAAGAACUGUUGCAGCUUCCAAUAUGGCCUUUUAGAACUCUCUGAGAGCCCUGAGAUGUCAAGUAAGAAGUUUAUCUGAUACUUCUUGUUGGAGAAGCCAAAUGGAGGUACUCUGAUUGGCAGUCCCAGCUGAGUCAACUAGACAAGCCUUCCAAUCAUUCCCUGCAUCCAAGGUACCAGACAUAAAUACACCUCUUCUCAGACAUCCUUCGCAUCAUUGCAAGCAUCCCUCUUUCAUUGACAAAACGGCAUUUACUCUGAGAAACAGAAAUGGAGUCAGUCUUUGAAAAUGUUUUCUACCUUAUGAUACUAAGCCUAGUAUCUGGACCACAAAAGCAAAGUGCGCCAUGGCUUCCAAGAUAUUCAAGCCCUCUUUUGUUUUGCCAAAGACUGCACUCUUGCCAUCCAACCACACAGUUUUGGCAGUGCAGAUGAAAAACUGGAAACCAUUUGUGUAGUGUCCAGUAUUUGCCACGGACAAGGUGCCAGGUCUUGUAUGCUUCAGGAUGGAGUUCUCAUCAUCAAACUUCUCCCAGUAGUUGGACUUGUGCCAGUGUCAUCAUGACAUGUGAAGUCACCACUCUGGCAUAUAAACCCUGGAAUAAUUCUGUGAAAACAGGAACACUUAUAGCCAAAUCCUUUCUCUCCAGUGCUCACAAAAUGAACAUUUUCUGUUGUCUUUGGAACUUUGCAAACAGCUGGAAGGAGACAUGGCCCAAGUGCUCACCAUUGACUACAAAGUCAAAGAACAAGGUGGAGGUGACCAUCACUGGCAGUGGUGACAUCAGUGGAAGUGGCAUCUGCAAAGUGCCAACAAAUAUUUUAAACAAACAAACCAAUAAAUUAAUAUUUCUUAAACCGAUAAAGAAUGAAAACUUUCCAGCCACUCAUCAGGCAUUUGUUCAUAACUGCUUGGUGUCAUUCAUGGUGAGAGAUUUUGCUGACACAAUGAUAGCUAUGAACAAUCCCUGCUUCCAGAAGCCUAUGGUGCAGCAGGAGAGGUUUGUACCCACAUUCAUGGCAUAGUGAUGGAGCGUGUUGGUGCCAGAACAGAGAUACACUGAGGCCUUUCUGAAGGGAUCCAGAAUGGAACAUCUUCAACUUCAUGUGUGUUCAAGAUGGCCUUCAUAAAGGAAGUGACAAACAUAUUCAGGUAUCUGAAAGUUGAACACACACUGAGGCUUACACUGGACAGAAGACAGAAGGGUAGUGUCGUCCCUGACCCUGAGGCCUUAAAUCCCUAUUGGGAAGUGAACACACUGACAGAUUUUCACAUACAAAAAAGAAAUAAACAAACCCAUUUAAAACUAUGAGUGGUUGAUUUAUGUGACCACUCCUAUGGAUGCUUGCAUACAAACAGGACACACAGAAGGAUAAUCUGAAAUAGAAAUAUAUUAGACAUAAGGAUUAACUGCAUGAUAUUUACUAGUAAAAAGCUAAAACACUAAUUUAAAUUUAAACUGUUAACUCUGAAAAAUAAUGGAGGGGAGAGCCCAUUGGAGAGAAGGCAAUGAGCAAAAAAAUCCAAGAGCCUCGGGAUUAGAUAAAAUUAAAAAAAUGUCUGACUGGAGAAUGACAUACUUUUAUAAUCUCUUCACUUCUCCAGACAUCCUCUAUUUGUUACAAAGCUAUCCCAGUCCCCAGUCUUGUGGUGUCUGGACCCUUGGGGUCACUUCCUAGCUGGUGACUUGCUUACACUCUGGCCUGGCCUCACAAUGUGUAAGCCUCAUUGAGCGAUCCUUCUAGAACGUUAGCCAGAUUAUGUAACUCUCCUUUUCAGAAACUUCCAACCACUUGCUCUCUUGCACAUAAUUAAUUCUGAUGUCCUCAUCCUGGCUUCUAAAAUAGAUGACCUGGCCCCUUACUAACGCACUGGUCUCAUCUCCCACCUCUCUUCCUAGGUAGCUCUAGUCACACAGCCUGUGAUCAUUUUGAAAUGUCUGAACCAUACUCCCCUUUCAGGACUGUUGCAUUGCUCUUCUAUAUAUCCAUGUGUCCUGCACCCUCUCUUCAUUUAGGCUUUGCUCAAAAUAUCCUUUUUUCAAAGAUUGUUUCUCCAAAUGCCCUUAUGAAAUAGCAUGCUUCUCAAUGCUUUAGUUUCUUGCCUGCUUUACUUAUCUUCAUUCAUUUAUUUUGUUUCCUCUAACUAAAAUGCAAGCUUCAUGAGAGUGAGAAAUAUUUCAUAAAUAACUAUUCCCUGUGCUUAAAACAGUGCCUUAAACGUGGUAGACACUCAAUAGAUAUACAUUGAAGAAAUGAACAAAUACUUUUCAGAGCCCUUACUAUGUAAUAUGCAUUAUCAAAAUAAAUCAUAAAAAUUCAAGAGAAGGGUAUAAUAUUCAGUGCUUCUCAACAAUUUAGACAUACAGCUCUUUUGCAGAUUAUUUCCCAUUUAUCCCUCUCUUCAGCAACCAUUUACCUAUAAUGUUAUUAUCUGCCUACCACGGAACCUAUCAUGCUCUGAACACACUUUGGAAAUUGCUGUUCUAACAGAUACCAAAGGAAGGGAACUAUAUUUACUUUCAGGCCUGAAAUAAGUCAGAGCUAAAAGGAGUAAAAGUGGUGUGCAGAUCUAUCUCAAUGAUAGUCCAAAAUUGUGGGUGUGUGUGUGUGUGCGCGCAUUUGCAUGAAGAGGGGACUCUGGGCUCUGAGAUCCACAGGAAAAAAAAAAAAAAAACAGAAAAAUAUGGCUGAAGUCACUGAACAAACUCAUCAGAAAAAAGAUUAGAUUAUUAUAGAAAACAAUGCUUAAACUGCUAAAAUGCAAAUUGUGAUAGUUAAUUUUAUAUGUCAACUUGACGGGGCCAUCGAAUGCACAGAUAUUUCGUUGAAAAUUAUUUCUGGUUCCAACACAGAGAUGAGAAAUGUUUGAGAUGAUCGAUAUGCUAAUUACUCUGAUCUGGUCACUAUAUAUUAUAGUGAAAUUAUAUUAUAUUAUUAUUAU